This is a non-coding RNA of Priapulus caudatus, 68 nucleotides long. Lineage: Eukaryota; Metazoa; Priapulida; Priapulimorpha; Priapulimorphida; Priapulidae. The record is from the annotation of a RefSeq genome assembly.
UAGAUAAGAGCUUGAAUAAGCAGUUGAUUGUUAAUCAAAAGAGUGGGAAGCUUAAGUCCCUUAUCUAA